RNAcentral lists this ribosomal RNA (553 nucleotides) under uncultured bacterium. Its description in RNAcentral is "partial 16S ribosomal RNA". It matches the Rfam family "Bacterial small subunit ribosomal RNA", at positions 355 to 905 of the family's 1533-position model. The record is from RNAcentral.
UGGGGAAUUUUGGACAAUGGGCGAAAGCCUGAUCCAGCAAUGCCGCGUGUGUGAAGAAGGCCUUCGGGUUGUAAAGCACUUUUGUCCGGAAAGAAAUCCUUGGCUCUAAUACAGUCGGGGGAUGACGGUACCGGAAGAAUAAGCACCGGCUAACUACGUGCCAGCAGCCGCGGUAAUACGUAGGGUGCGAGCGUUAAUCGGAAUUACUGGGCGUAAAGCGUGCGCAGGCGGUUUGCUAAGACCGAUGUGAAAUCCCCGGGCUCAACCUGGGAACUGCAUUGGUGACUGGCAGGCUAGAGUAUGGCAGAGGGGGGUAGAAUUCCACGUGUAGCAGUGAAAUGCGUAGAGAUGUGGAGGAAUACCGAUGGCGAAGGCAGCCCCCUGGGCCAAUACUGACGCUCAUGCACGAAAGCGUGGGGAGCAAACAGGAUUAGAUACCCUGGUAGUCCACGCCCUAAACGAUGUCAACUAGUUGUUGGGUCAUUCUUCUAUAACGUAGCUAACGCGUGAAGUUGACCGCCUGGGGAGUACGGUCGCAAGAUUAAAACUCAAA